UGAGUAACCUGCCCCAGUCUUUGGGAUAACCCUCGGAAACGGGGGCUAAUACCGGAUAUGACACAUGGCUGCAUGGUUGUGUGUGGAAAGUUUUUCGGUCUGGGAUGGGCUCGCGGCCUAUCAGCUUGUUGGUGGGGUGAUGGCCUACCAAGGCGACGACGGGUAGCCGGCCUGAGAGGGCGACCGGCCACACUGGGACUGAGACACGGCCCAGACUCCUACGGGAGGCAG
This 231-nucleotide ribosomal RNA is filed under the name uncultured bacterium. RNAcentral's name for it is "partial 16S ribosomal RNA". It matches the Rfam family "Bacterial small subunit ribosomal RNA", at positions 118 to 351 of the family's 1533-position model. The record is from RNAcentral.